This 440-nucleotide ribosomal RNA is filed under the name uncultured bacterium. RNAcentral describes it as "partial 16S ribosomal RNA". It matches the Rfam family "Bacterial small subunit ribosomal RNA", at positions 338 to 795 of the family's 1533-position model. The record is from RNAcentral.
CCUACGGGUGGCAGCAGUGGGGAAUAUUGCACAAUGGGGGAAACCCUGAUGCAGCGACGCCGCGUGAGUGAAGAAGUAAUUCGUUAUGUAAAGCUCUAUCAGCAGGGAGGAAAAUGACGGUACCUGAGUAAGAAGCCCCGGCUAACUACGGGCCAGCAGCCGAGGUAAUACGUAGGGGGCAGGCGUUAUCCGGAUUUACUGGGGGUAAAGGGAGCGUAGCCGGCUGUGCAAGUCUGGAGGGAAAGGCGGGGGCUCAACCCCGGGACUGCACUGGAAACUGGACGGCUGGAGUGCAGGGGAGGUAAGUGGAAUUCGUAGUGUAGCGGUGAAAUGCGUAGAUAUUAGGAGGAACACCAGUGGCGAAGGCGGCUUACUGGACUGUAACUGACGUUGAGGCUCGAAAGUGUGGGGAGCAAACAGGAUUAGAUACCCUUGUAGUC